CAGAUACCACUUUAUGAGGAAAUUCAGGUCCCCAGACUGUUCAGGUAAGCCACAUGUGUCUGCUUUCAGGAAGACUUGUAAAAUGUUAAAGCUGAGAGAGGUCAUAGAAGACGAAACAUCAGCACAAAGAAUACCAGAGCAGGAAGGCCCCUCAGGAUAUACAACACAGAAGAACUCAAGACAAAUGAGAUGUAGAGGACAGAUUUCAGAAGGAAGACUCUAAGGCGAAAGCGAAUGGGAAAGCUGAAGGUGGGACUUGGAGGAGUCCAAAGAAGCUAGGAGUCCUCUGAGGAGGGAAAGAAGUGGGGGAAGAAAAUGACCCCAGUCAGGAAAUGGAGUAUCUUCUUGGAGGAAAAGCCUCAAGAGCCACAUCACUGGAUCAGAGAGAGGAUACGAAGAACUGGGGGAUGUGAUUGCUGAGCUCUUGCCAGAGAACUUAGAAACAUCAUAAAAGCAGGAGAAGUCCUCUAGGACUGAAGAAGGGCAAAUGCUCUGAUUUCCAAAGGAAAGAGUAUGAAAUUUGUUAAUCCCAGACCAGGGAGCUUGCUUUCUAUUCUUGGCACAUUCUAGGUUAUACCAUUAAAGGAAUUAUGGCUAGUGAUGAUCUAGAAAAGGAAA
Molecule: long non-coding RNA, 618 nt
Organism: Monodelphis domestica (gray short-tailed opossum)
Lineage: Eukaryota; Metazoa; Chordata; Mammalia; Didelphimorphia; Didelphidae
Source: RefSeq, a predicted model, not a curated record